CAAAAAGCGUUAAAGCUUGACCAAUUUUAUUAAUAAAUCUCACAAAUUUAUGUAAACCCACACCCAAUACUGAACAACUCCAUAAAAAUAUGGAAAAUAUUAUGCUGGAACUAGUAACAAGAAUUUAAUAUUCUCCACAAUGCAAGCAUAGACCAUAAUAGAUUAACUGCUGGUCAUUAACGAAAAUGAGAAAACUGCAGCAACACAACAAGAAAACCCUGUAUAUCCUCCCCGUUAACCUAACACCAGAGCAUUCCCGGAAAGAUUAAAAGAGAGAGAAGGAACUCGGCAAAUUUUAACCCCGCCUGUUUACCAAAAACAUCGCCUCUUGAUAAUCAUAAGAGGUCUAGCCUGCCCAGUGAUAAAUUUAACGGCCGCGGUAUUCUAACCGUGCGAAGGUAGCAUAAUCACUUGUUCUUUAAAUAGGGACUUGUAUCAACGGCAUCACGAGGGUUACACUGUCUCCUCUCUCCGAUCAGUGAAACUGAUCUCCCCGUGAAGAAGCGGGGAUGAACAAAUAAGACGAGAAGACCCCAUGGAGCUUUAAAUCUCACAGCAACUCCAACACUUAUUUCCUUAUAACCUACAGAGCAGUGCAUACCGAUUUUAGGUUGGGGCGACCGCGGAGUAAAAAUUACCCUCCACGACGAAAAGAGCUAAUCUUUAUCUAAGAGUAACCACUCUAAGAAUUAGUAUACUAACGAGUAAUGACCCGACAAUCGAUCAACGGACCAAGUUACCCUGGGGAUAACAGCGCAAUCUACUUCAAGAGCCCGUAUCGACAAGUAGGCUUACGACCUCGAUGUUGGAUCAGGGUAUCCCAGUGGUGCAGCCGCUACUAAUGGUUCGU
Molecule: ribosomal RNA, 850 nt
Filed under: Rhacophorus bipunctatus (Himalaya flying frog)
Lineage: Eukaryota; Metazoa; Chordata; Amphibia; Anura; Rhacophoridae
Description: partial large subunit ribosomal RNA
Rfam family: Bacterial large subunit ribosomal RNA
Source: RNAcentral